This is a long non-coding RNA of Parus major (Great Tit), 553 nucleotides long. RefSeq lists it as uncharacterized. The record is from RefSeq and is a predicted model, not a curated record. The transcript is spliced from 2 exons. NCBI's taxonomy places the organism in Eukaryota, Metazoa, Chordata, Aves, Passeriformes, Paridae.
UUGCUCGAGAGAAGGAUGGGAAGGAGAUCUCGCAGUAUAAAAAGAAGAUUUUGGUCCAGAUGAAAAACUCCAGAAAUUGAAAGAAGAAUUCGCGUUCAGCUGAAAGCGAUGCUGUGCCAAACCCGAGCCCUUCCCCGAGUGAUUCUCCUGGAAUAUUCCUCUUGUGCCAAGAAAUGACACGGUGUCCUUCCAUCUCUCCAGGACCUGUCUGCUCCUCUGCCAGGAGACACGGCGGGGAAAACUCCGAGAAAAUAAUUAGUUAGGCAUAUUCAAGGAGAUUUGAUGAUAAGGCCGAAGGAAAAUACAGGCGUGGAUUUGAUUUCUUAUUUUUAUUUUUAUAUUUUUUUCUUUUAUUCUACUUUUUCCGUGGAGGAUUUCAAACACCCGAUGGUUUUACAGAGAGCAGAAAGUCUUUAAGUUGUUAUGGCAAAGCAGGAGGAGCUGGCAGCCAUGAAAAGGAAGUUGCAUGUCAUAUUAAAAGUGAGCUAGAACUGUCUGGGGUAUUAAUAGACAAACAGAACGAGAGAAAACAGCAUACAAAACAUUACCCGGA